GGAAGUAAAAGUCGUGACAAGGUCUCCGUUGGUGAACCAGCGGAGGGAUCAUUACAGAGUUGCAAAACUCCCAAACCAUUGUGAACGUUACCUAUCCCGUUGCUUCGGCGGGCGGCCCGGGCCCCGCGCCCGGCGCCCCCCGGCCCCCCGUGGGCGCCCGCCGGAGGUAAACCAAACCCUUGAAUUGCAUGGCCUCUCUGAGUCUUCUGUACUGAAUAAGUCAAAACUUUCAACAACGGAUCUCUUGGUUCUG
RNAcentral lists this unclassified non-coding RNA (253 nucleotides) under plant metagenome. RNAcentral's name for it is "partial contains small subunit ribosomal RNA, internal transcribed spacer 1, and 5.8S ribosomal RNA". The stretch from base 1 to 54 matches the Rfam family "Eukaryotic small subunit ribosomal RNA", at positions 1778 to 1831 of the family's 1831-position model. The record is from RNAcentral.